GAUGAAGAACGUAGCGUAAUGCGAUAAGUAGUGUGAAUUGCAGAAUUCAGUGAAUCAUCGAAUCUUUGAACGCACAUUGCGCCCCUUGGUAUUCCAUGGGGCAUGCCUGUUCGAGCGUCAUUUGUACCUUCAAGCUCUGCUUGGUGUUGGGUGUUUGUCUCGCCUCUGCGUGUAGACUCGCCUCAAAACAAUUGGCAGCCGGCGUAUUGAUUUCGGAGCGCAGUACAUCUCGCGCUUUGCACUCAUAACGACGACGUCCAAAAGUACAUUUUUACACUCUUGACCUCGGAUCAGGUAGGGAUACCCGCUGAACUUAAGCAUAUCAAUAAGCGGAGGA
This 337-nucleotide unclassified non-coding RNA is filed under the name soil metagenome. Its description in RNAcentral is "partial contains 5.8S ribosomal RNA, internal transcribed spacer 2, and large subunit ribosomal RNA". The stretch from base 1 to 120 matches the Rfam family "5.8S ribosomal RNA", at positions 35 to 154 of the family's 154-position model. The record is from RNAcentral.